Gigantopelta aegis is the source of this 67-nucleotide small nucleolar RNA. RefSeq annotates it as small nucleolar RNA SNORD37. The transcript has a single exon. NCBI's taxonomy places the organism in Eukaryota, Metazoa, Mollusca, Gastropoda, Neomphalida, Peltospiridae. The record is from RefSeq and is a predicted model, not a curated record.
AUCUGUGAUGAAUGAAAAUUUUCUUCACUUUGACCUGAAUUUUAUGUGGAGAACUUUAUAUCUGAGA